RNAcentral lists this ribosomal RNA (425 nucleotides) under uncultured bacterium. RNAcentral describes it as "bacterial SSU rRNA". It matches the Rfam family "Bacterial small subunit ribosomal RNA", at positions 356 to 773 of the family's 1533-position model. The record is from RNAcentral.
AGGGAAUCUUCCACAAUGGACGAAAGUCUGAUGGAGCAACGCCGCGUGAGUGAUGAAGGGUUUCGGCUCGUAAAACUCUGUUGUUGGAGAAGAACGGGUGUCAGAGUAACUGUUGACAUCGUGACGGUAUCCAACCAGAAAGCCACGGCUAACUACGUGCCAGCAGCCGCGGUAAUACGUAGGUGGCAAGCGUUGUCCGGAUUUAUUGGGCGUAAAGCGAGCGCAGGCGGUUUUUUAGGUCUGAUGUGAAAGCCUUCGGCUUAACCGGAGAAGUGCAUCGGAAACCGGGAGACUUGAGUGCAGAAGAGGACAGUGGAACUCCAUGUGUAGCGGUGAAAUGCGUAGAUAUAUGGAAGAACACCAGUGGCGAAGGCGGCUGUCUGGUCUGCAACUGACGCUGAGGCUCGAAAGCAUGGGUAGCGAAC